UACAGAGGGGGCAAGCGUUGUUCGGAAUUACUGGGCGUAAAGGGCGCGUAGGCGGCCUGUUAAGUCAGACGUGAAAUCCCUCGGCUCAACCGGGGAACUGCGUCUGAUACUGGCGGGCUUGAAUUCGGGAGAGGGAUGUGGAAUUCCAGGUGUAGCGGUGAGAUGCGUAGAUAUCUGGAGGAACACCGGUGGCGAAGGCGGCAUCCUGGACCGACAUUGACGCUGAGGCGCGAAAGCCAGGGGAGCAAACGGG
Molecule: ribosomal RNA, 253 nt
Filed under: uncultured bacterium
Lineage: Bacteria
Description: partial 16S ribosomal RNA
Rfam family: Bacterial small subunit ribosomal RNA
Source: RNAcentral